GCGCCACAAAAUCAGGUGAAACUGAAAAUAAAGUCUUUAAUCCAGGCAGCGGCUUUGCAACAUUUGGACAAUUUUUUUUUACACGUCAGUACCCAUCUGUCCAGUUGUGAAGAUGGAACAUCUCACGCUUGUGGCUGUCAUAGCAGUGGUCUUCACUCUCUUCACUGAAACUGAAGCAAGU
This is a long non-coding RNA of Syngnathoides biaculeatus (alligator pipefish), 181 nucleotides long. RefSeq lists it as uncharacterized. The transcript is spliced from 3 exons. Lineage: Eukaryota; Metazoa; Chordata; Actinopteri; Syngnathiformes; Syngnathidae. The record is from RefSeq and is a predicted model, not a curated record.